UACGUAGGGUGCAAGCGUUGUCCGGAAUUAUUGGGCGUAAAGAGCUCGUAGGCGGUCUGUCGCGUCGGAUGUGAAAAUCCAGGGCUCAACCCUGGACCUGCAUUCGAUACGGGCAGACUAGAGUUCGGUAGGGGAGACUGGAAUUCCUGGUGUAGCGGUGAAAUGCGCAGAUAUCAGGAGGAACACCGGUGGCGAAGGCGGGUCUCUGGGCCGAAACUGACGCUGAGGAGCGAAAGCAUGGGGAGCGAACAGGAUUAGAACCAUACCGUC
RNAcentral lists this ribosomal RNA (270 nucleotides) under uncultured bacterium. RNAcentral's name for it is "partial 16S ribosomal RNA". It matches the Rfam family "Bacterial small subunit ribosomal RNA", at positions 524 to 795 of the family's 1533-position model. The record is from RNAcentral.